AUGUUCCUUCGGGAGGCAGCAGUAGGGAAUCUUCCACAAUGGACGAAAGUCUGAUGGAGCAACGCCGCGUGAGUGAAGAAGGGUUUCGGCUCGUAAAGCUCUGUUGGUAGUGAAGAAAGAUAGAGGUAGUAACUGGCCUUUAUUUGACGGUGAUUACUUAGAAAGUCACGGCUAACUACGUGCCAGCAGCCGCGGUAAUACGUAGGUGGCAAGCGUUGUCCGGAUUUAUUGGGCGUAAAGCGAGUGCAGGCGGUUCAAUAAGGCU
This 265-nucleotide ribosomal RNA is filed under the name uncultured bacterium. RNAcentral describes it as "partial 16S ribosomal RNA". It matches the Rfam family "Bacterial small subunit ribosomal RNA", at positions 333 to 590 of the family's 1533-position model. The record is from RNAcentral.